This 719-nucleotide long non-coding RNA is filed under the name Salmo salar (Atlantic salmon). Its description in RNAcentral is "lncRNA (ENSSSAG00000114181.1, ENSSSAG00020029287.1)". Lineage: Eukaryota; Metazoa; Chordata; Actinopteri; Salmoniformes; Salmonidae. The record is from RNAcentral.
ACACCCACAUUCUUAAGAAUCUACUGAGUCCCAUUUGAAUGGAAUUUCCAAAGAGUGAAGGAUAAACGGUAUGAAUAUGUGCAAAUGGUUGAAAUCAUGGAGUAGGAUGCAAGUCCCAUCCCCAGGAACUCAUACUUAGAUAAGACUGGAUUCAAUUUAGCGAAGACGAGGAAGAAAGGAAGGAACAUCAUUGGUCAACGUGCCAUCAUUGAGGUACCUGGCCAGCGUGGGGGAAAUGUCACCAUAUGCACAGUGAUGAGCCACAACGGGGUCCUCCACCGCCAUGCCACCCUAAGUACCAUACAACUCUGCCCAUCUCCUCAAUUUCCUGAACACCUCACAUGACAAUCUUUUUCAGUCAGAGAGUAUGUUCAAAUGUAUGUUCUAAUUUGGGACAACUUGAGUUUCCAUCGGGCUGCUCAGGUCCGCAACUGGUUCCAUGACCAUCCCAGGUUUACAAUUCUCUAUCUCCCACCAUAUUCCCCAUUUCUCAACCCCAUUGAGGAGUUGUUUUCAGCAUGGCGGUGGAAGGGGAAUGAUUGCAAACCCCAUGAACAUAUGGCCCUUCUCCAGGCAAUUGAAGAGACCUGUGGUGACAUUCCAGCAGAGUCCUGUCAGGGGUGGAUGCGUCAUGCCAGAAGAUAUUUCCCCAGCUGUCUGGACAAGGAGAAUAUCGCCUAUGAUGUUGAUGAAAAUCUGCGGCCGGACCAAAACAAAAG